AGAGCGCGUGUGGCGGCCGAGCACAUGGGCCCGCGGGCCGGGCGGGCUCGGGGCGGCCGGGACGAGGAGGGGCGACGACGAGCUGCGAGCAAAGAUGUGCCCCGGGACCCCCGGCACCUUCCAGUGGAUUUCCUUGCGGAAAGGAUGUUGGCGGUCCCUGUGACCUGUGGAGACACGGCCAGAUCUGCCCUCCAGCCUGAUCUUUUGGCCAGAAGGAGAUUAAAAAGAUGCCCCUCAAGAUGGCUGUGCCUGUCAGCUGCAUGGAGCUUCGUUCAAGUAUUUUCUGAGCCUGAUGGAUUUACAGUGAUCUUCAGUGGUCUGGGGAAUAACGCUGGUGGAACCAUGCACUGGAAUGACACACGCCCGGCACAUUUCAGGAUACUAAAAGUGGUUUUAAGGGAGGCUGUGGCUGAAUGCCUCAUGGAUUCUUACAGCUUGGAUGUCCAUGGGGGACGAAGGACUGCAGCUGGCUGAGAGGGUUGAGAUCUCUGUUUACUUAGAUCUCUGCCAACUUCCUUUGGGUCUCCCUAUGGAAUGUAAGACCCCGACUCUUCCUGGUGAAGCAUCUGAUGCACGUUCCAUCCGGCGCUCAGCUGGGCUUGAGCUGACCAUACUCCCUGGAGCCUUCUCCCGAGGUGCGCGGGUGACCUUGGCACAUACAGCCAUCAUGAUGGUACUUUAAGUGGAGGCUGAAUCAUCUCCCCUUUGAGCUGCUUGGCACGUGGCUCCCUUGGUGUUCCCCUUUUACUGCCAGGACACUGAGAUUUGGAGAGGUAAGUGGCUUACCUGAGGCCAUGUGCUAACAGAGAAGAUGAAGAGAUGAUUGAAACAGGCCUAAGACCAGACCUAAGGGUCUGUACAUUUUCCACAUACUUUCCAUAUCUUUAGAGGCCUGACCAAAGCAGAUCUUUUCCUUUCUUCUAGGUAAGUCCAAAGGCACCUGCCUGCUGGGCCCACUGUUUUCUAACUUUCCUAACUUUCUGAUCCCUUGGAGGUGAUAAUCAAAUAUUCUAGUCUGAGGCAUUGGGAUACAUGGUGCUAGGUUCUGAGACUCUGCGUCAGGCCUGAACCCUGCAUUUUGUGGAGGUGGGUGGGAGAAUGUUCCCCUGGGGAACAUGCCUAGACACGGGGGACAACAGUUGCCCUCAUGGGGAGGUACCUGUUUACUCGCUGUUAUGGGACCGCUUUCACAAAACCACUGCAGGUGAGUGAGUUCCUGCUGAAUAUCAGGCCUGGUGUCUCUAGACUCAUUAUUUCCCCCACCCAACCCCUAUGUUAGUUCAUCUCGAGCCACAUUUUUAUUGCCAUAAUCCAGGCCUGGACAGGCCAAGAUCUUUUAACAAUUUUAAUUACUGAAAAUAAUAACUGCAUUUUUUUUAAAGCCCAACUUUUGGUAGAGUCAGCCCAAAAUACAGUCUUUGUGUUGCCAUCUGGGAACUGGAUUUGGAAUUGUUCUUCCAUGAGACUGCAGAGCAGAACGGCAGGGCCAGAGGUCCCACGAGCUGGUCAGACCCGGUUCUGCUCCUUGCUGGCUGAGUGACCUUGGGCAUUGUGAUUCAUAUUCUCAUCUGCCUUCAAGUGUGGUUACGAAUGCUUUUUAUCCUGCUUAUCAAUUUCUAUGAUUGCCAUAAAAUAUUAACACAAAUUUAGCAUUUAUAUAACAUAAUAUAUUAAUGCAUAGUUUUUUUGUGGGGGGGGGCGGUGGAGGGGCAGUGUUGAGACAGAGUCUUGCUCUGUCACCCAGGCUGGAGUGCAUGGUGUGAUCCUGGCCCACUGAACCUUGACCUCCAGGGCUCAAGGGGUCCUCCCACCUCAGCCUCCAGAGUAGCUGGGACUUCAGGCAUGAGCUACCACACCUGGCUAAUUUUUUGUAUUUUUUGUAGAGACGAGGUCUCACUAUCUUGCCCAGGCAGGCCUGGAACUCCUGGACUCAAGCGAUCCUCCCACCUCGGCCUUCUAAAGUGCUGUGAUUACAGGUGUGAGCCACUAUGUCCGGCUCACGUCCAGUUAUCUAGGGCAGAGGUCAGACAUGGAUCUCUCCAGGCUAACAUCAAGGAACCUGUAGGCUGCCUUCCAUUCUGGAGACUGCAGGGGAGAGUCUGUUCCUUGCUCAUUCUGGAUGUUGGCAGAAUUUGUUUCCUUGAGGUUGUAGGGCUGAGAUCCCGUUUUCUUGCUGGCUGUCCAGAUGCAUUGAGCUUCUGGAAGCCUCCUCGCUAGGCUUGUGGCCUCCUCUCUCCAUUUUCAAGUCCAGCAAUGGUGGGUCCAGUUCCUUUUAGGAUUUAAAUCUUUUCUCCCUCUUUCUUUUCACCUCUGUGAUCUCAGCUAGAAAAGAUUAUCUAAUUUUAAGGAUUCAUGUGAUUGGACUGGGGCCACCCUGAUAAUCCAGAAUAAUCCCUACUUCAAGGUCCUUAGGUUUAAUCACAUCUAGGAAGUUCUAUUGCCAUGGGAGGCAACAUAUUCACAGGUUCCAGGAAAUUCCGACAUGGGCAUCUCUUUGAUUGGAAUGAGGGGUGGCAGGUAUUCUGACACAGUACCUCAGAAGGGUUGCUGUGAUGAUGAAGUGAAUGGAGACACGUAAAGCGCUUAAAAUAUUAUGUAGAGCCAUGUGAAUUUGGCAGCAUUGAAUUGUUGACCUAUAAAAGGUCAACUUAAUAGUAUCUGGUCUAUAGUAAAUCUUCAGUAAAUGUUUGCUGUCAUUACUCUAGUGGUAGAAAUGUCAUGCUUUAUUUAGCCAGUUUGCUAUUGUUGGGCAUUACUUUUUAAAGAGUUAUUAUUUUGUUAUUAUAGUAUAUAUGUGAACACCGUGAUCAUCAUGCCUUUGCAAAUUUUAUUCUGAUUUAGGGCAAUGCAUGUCUUUCCAGGCCACACUCAGUCUCCUGCUCUGGUGCCAGUGUCUCUGUGGCCUGAGGGGCCCCUCUUUCUUGCAGAGCCCCUCAUCCAGCACCAGCUCAGCUCUGGGCCAUGUGUGUGGGGUGGGACUUUUCUCUUUUGGGAAGUGGGCCAUGCCUCUCCUUCCUGAGACCAUCCCCUUUGGCUUCCUCGGGGCCCUUGGCUCUUUGAACCAGCCUGCAGGGCACCACACCUGUGGGCCCAUUUUUGUCAGGAAACGACUCCCUUCCCAAGGGCACCCUGAGUCCCAGGUCCCCAGGCCCACAGAUGUUGGGCCCUCAGAGUGUGAUCCCAUGUCCCCAGCUCUGUAACUCCCUGCAUGUGGCUCUUAAGACUCACAAGCCCAUGUUUGCCUUGGCCAGACACUUUCGCCUGUCAGUUCUGCCAGUUGGGAAGUGUCAUCCCCACUGUGUGAAUGUGGAAGGGAUAAUGAAGAAUUUCCACGGCUUGCCUAGGGUCGUUGAGCAAUGUGGAAGGGAUCAUGGAGAAUUUCCAUGGCUUGCCUAAGGUCAUCAAGCUGGCAUCUCAACCCAGGUUCAUCUGCCUGUGAUGACAGGAAAGAAAUCAGGUGUGAUUCUGUUCUUGUUGACCCAUAGCCACCUCUCUCAUUAAGGCUUCUCCUGCAGGCAACUACACAGCCAGUGGUGGGAAAGCACCUAAUUUACAUCUUCAUGCAUUGAAACUGAUGUCACUCACCUCUCCCCCUUGACCUGGAAGAGCCCCUGAAGGCUGCCAUAGGGGAAAUGAUAACCCAUUCUACAGCUGCUGAAACUGAGGCCCAGGGAGUGUCCAGAGCUUUCUGAGGUCCACCAUGUACUGUUGACCAGGAUGAGUGAUAGCCACCUGGUGACAAUGUUGAAGGUUCUCAUUCAGUAGAGCUGGGUUCAAUUCUGACUUGCCUGACCAGCUGGUGCCUCAUUUUGCUCUAAGUAUUGGAGCCUCCAGCUUUAUUUUCUUUCAGUGGGAAAGACUGUGAGAUUCAGUCCCUCCUUGAAGCUGCGCAUCGACUCUCCUGUCCUGGGUACUCUUUAGGUAGUGGCUGUUCUGAAGUGGCUUUGGAAACCCUGGAAUGAAACUGUCAUGUCCAAUGCUGAGAUUUGUAUAAACUGUCAUUUUAACUGUGAUUAUUAUUCCUUAGGAUUUGAGAAAUAAAAUCUGAGGAGGGAGCAGGACCUGCCUCAGGGCCUCCUCUCCAAGUUGAGU
RNAcentral lists this long non-coding RNA (4092 nucleotides) under Homo sapiens (human). Its description in RNAcentral is "HSALNT0350102". The stretch from base 17 to 194 matches the Rfam family "Pvt1 oncogene conserved region 1". Lineage: Eukaryota; Metazoa; Chordata; Mammalia; Primates; Hominidae. The record is from RNAcentral.